Molecule: ribosomal RNA, 478 nt
Filed under: Isognomon alatus (flat tree-oyster)
Lineage: Eukaryota; Metazoa; Mollusca; Bivalvia; Pterioida; Isognomonidae
Description: partial 16S ribosomal RNA
Rfam family: Bacterial large subunit ribosomal RNA
Source: RNAcentral
UUCCGGACGGAAUUGACGUUCGGUAAGCACUGCCCGGUGCACUACGGUGUUAACGGCGGUCGACGGGCUUUAAAGUAGCAAAAUCCCUUGCCUCUUAAUUAGAGAGCGCGCAUGAAGUGUGGAACGAGGGAACGACUGUCUCUGGCGAGUGGAAGUGAAAUCGAACUUCAAGUGCAAUUGCUUGAAUGGCUCUAAUAGACGAGAAGACCCCGCGUAGCUUUACAUAAACUUUGAAUGGGUUGGGGCAAUUGUUUAGUUGGGGAAACGGGGGAAUAAGAAAAACUUCCAUGGGACAGGCAUGAACUGACGGGUUACGAUCCAGAUUGUGGCCGAAAGAAGGAUGAGCUACACCGGGGAUAACAGCGCGCUUCUGAAAUUGAGAACUCAUUGGUUUCAGAGUCGGCGACCUCGAUGUUGAAUCAGGGAAAGCUUGGGCGCAGCCGCUCAAGUGUUGGGUCUGUUCGACCUUUAAAUUCCU